UCUUCCCCUAACCCACGCCGUCUCAUUCCCUCCCCGAUCUCUACCUCUCUCACCCUUGCCUGCGCCCAACCGCCAACCACCACGAGCCACCGUGAACAGAAUCGUUGCACGUCGCCGACCAACCAACUCCCUCCUCUCCCUCGGCCCCUCACUCCCUCGACGUUGCCUAUCUUCUUCUCUUCUCGAUUUCUACCCCUGACAGCCCUUGUCGCCACCAGCAACCAAACAGGCCGCCAUCAUUCAAUCUCCGUGAGCCAUCGCACCUCUAGUUGCACAAAAAGUGCUGACCACCACACAGGGUGGCUCCUCCGUGUUCAACCAAGACAGCAAAGGCAAAGCCACAGAUUUAUCAUUAUUUCCUCCACGCCAUUGCAGUCACAAAGAGCCUCCAUGACCCAGACAUUCCCUCCAUCUAGCACGGUAGCAGCUGCUUUUCUUGUCUCAAGCCUACGGGCAGCUUCACCAUCAACAACCACCCGAGACAUUCUCAGCCCCUAGAUUUUUUGUAUUUCUCAAGUUGAGAUAUGAGAUCACCAAGGUUGAACAGAUCUUUGUGGUGGGGAACUCUGGCAAACAUUUUGAGAUAAUUCUAGUUAAGUGUCUUGGAUUACUUGUUUAAUUCCAGCAUGUUUAUAGAUGAUUUUAGGAAACCACACAUAUACACACAAGUGCACAUGUUCCACUUGAUCAUAUCUGGAAUAGAUCAAAGGUGUUGGAUGUAUGCCCUUGAAGCAUUAUGGGCUCUGGCACUAGUGGAGCAUGCUAAAAGGUGUGGUCUUACUCAUGAUAAAUUUUGUGGUUUGGGAUUGUAUUUGGAUUAAUGAGAGAGCUGUACAUGUGUUCUCGUA
Carya illinoinensis is the source of this 848-nucleotide long non-coding RNA. RefSeq lists it as uncharacterized. The transcript has 3 exons. The record is from RefSeq and is a predicted model, not a curated record. NCBI's taxonomy places the organism in Eukaryota, Viridiplantae, Streptophyta, Magnoliopsida, Fagales, Juglandaceae.